GCAACACUGAACUGAAAUGCGGAUCGUAACCGAUUUAUUCACUUGGCAUCACUUUGUUACUUAGAGCACAUUAAACUGGGGUAUUUGGUCUGAGCUACUCUUCUAGUGGCAUCCCUCAAAUGUCAAGAUCUAAGAAAGAAACUUGAAAAGCAUC
This is a long non-coding RNA of Hyalella azteca, 154 nucleotides long. RefSeq lists it as uncharacterized. The record is from RefSeq and is a predicted model, not a curated record. The transcript is spliced from 2 exons. Lineage: Eukaryota; Metazoa; Arthropoda; Malacostraca; Amphipoda; Hyalellidae.